RNAcentral lists this ribosomal RNA (253 nucleotides) under uncultured bacterium. RNAcentral describes it as "partial 16S ribosomal RNA". It matches the Rfam family "Bacterial small subunit ribosomal RNA", at positions 524 to 776 of the family's 1533-position model. The record is from RNAcentral.
UACGUAGGUGACCAGCGUUGUCCGGAUUUACUGGGCGUAAAGAGCGCGCAGGCGGUCGUUCAAGUCGAGUGUGAAAGCCCCCGGCUCAACUGGGGAGGGUCACUUGAUACUGAUCGACUCGAAGGCAGGAGAGGGAAGCGGAAUUCCCGGUGUAGUGGUGAAAUGCGUAGAUAUCGGGAGGAACACCUGUGGCGAAAGCGGCGCACUGGACCACAACUGACGCUGAGGCGCGAAAGCUAGGGGAGCAAACAGG